RNAcentral lists this ribosomal RNA (550 nucleotides) under uncultured bacterium. RNAcentral describes it as "bacterial SSU rRNA". It matches the Rfam family "Bacterial small subunit ribosomal RNA", at positions 355 to 896 of the family's 1533-position model. The record is from RNAcentral. RNAcentral also lists the same sequence under 1 other name.
UAGGGAAUCUUCCACAAUGGACGCAAGUCUGAUGGAGCAACGCCGCGUGAGUGAAGAAGGGUUUCGGCUCGUAAAGCUCUGUUGUUAAAGAAGAACGUGGGUGAGAGUAACUGUUCACCCAGUGACGGUAUUUAACCAGAAAGCCACGGCUAACUACGUGCCAGCAGCCGCGGUAAUACGUAGGUGGCAAGCGUUAUCCGGAUUUAUUGGGCGUAAAGCGAGCGCAGGCGGUCUUUUAAGUCUAAUGUGAAAGCCUUCGGCUCAACCGAAGAAGUGCAUUGGAAACUGGGAGACUUGAGUGCAGAAGAGGACAGUGGAACUCCAUGUGUAGCGGUGAAAUGCGUAGAUAUAUGGAAGAACACCAGUGGCGAAGGCGGCUGUCUGGUCUGUAACUGACGCUGAGGCUCGAAAGCAUGGGUAGCGAACAGGAUUAGAUACCCUGGUAGUCCAUGCCGUAAACGAUGAUUACUAAGUGUUGGAGGGUUUCCGCCCUUCAGUGCUGCAGCUAACGCAUUAAGUAAUCCGCCUGGGGAGUACGACCGCAAGGUUG